RNAcentral lists this ribosomal RNA (253 nucleotides) under uncultured bacterium. RNAcentral's name for it is "partial 16S ribosomal RNA". It matches the Rfam family "Bacterial small subunit ribosomal RNA", at positions 524 to 776 of the family's 1533-position model. The record is from RNAcentral.
UACGAAGGGGGCUAGCGUUGUUCGGAAUUACUGGGCGUAAAGCGUGCGCAGGCGGCUUCUCAAGUCAGGGGUGAAAGCCCAGAGCUCAACUCUGGAAUUGCCUUUGAGACUGAGUGGCUUGAGUACGAGAGAGGUGAGUGGAAUUCCCAGUGUAGAGGUGAAAUUCGUAGAUAUUGGGAAGAACACCGGUGGCGAAGGCGGCUCACUGGCUCGUAACUGACGCUCAUGCACGACAGCGGGGGGAUCAAACAGG